AGAAUACUCCCUCCGUCCUGAAAUACUUGUCAAAGAAAUGCAUAAAAAUGGAUGUAUUUAGAACUAAAAUACAUCUAGAUACGUCCAUUUCUCCAAAUGUAUUUCCGGACGGAGGGAGUAGGAA
Triticum aestivum (bread wheat) is the source of this 124-nucleotide non-coding RNA. Lineage: Eukaryota; Viridiplantae; Streptophyta; Magnoliopsida; Poales; Poaceae. The record is from Rfam.